Molecule: ribosomal RNA, 468 nt
Filed under: uncultured bacterium
Lineage: Bacteria
Description: partial 16S ribosomal RNA
Rfam family: Bacterial small subunit ribosomal RNA
Source: RNAcentral
GACGAACGCUGGCGGCGUGCUUAACACAUGCAAGUCGAACGGAAAGGCCCUGCUUUUGUGGGGUGCUCGAGUGGCGAACGGGUGAGUAACACGUGAGUAACCUGCCCUUGACUUUGGGAUAACUUCAGGAAACUGGGGCUAAUACCGGAUAGGAGCUCCUGCUGCAUGGUGGGGGUUGGAAAGUUUCGGCGGUUGGGGAUGGACUCGCGGCUUAUCAGCUUGUUGGUGGGGUAGUGGCUUACCAAGGCUUUGACGGGUAGCCGGCCUGAGAGGGUGACCGGGGCAGUUGGUCCGAAGACAGCACCCAGAAGCGCACGGGGGGGCGCAGUGCGGGAUGUUGCGCGCAGGGCGGGCUGAUGACGCAGCAUCUCCGCGGGCGGGGUGGCGGCAGUGGGGUUGUAAAAGAACAGCGCCUGGGAGGAAGCGGGAGCGGCGGGACUUUGGAAAGAAGCAACGCCCAACUACGUC